This 254-nucleotide ribosomal RNA is filed under the name uncultured bacterium. Its description in RNAcentral is "partial 16S ribosomal RNA". It matches the Rfam family "Bacterial small subunit ribosomal RNA", at positions 524 to 776 of the family's 1533-position model. The record is from RNAcentral.
UACGGAGGGUGCAAGCGUUAUCCGGAAUCACUGGGUUUAAAGGGUGCGUAGGCGGUCCGAUAAGUCAGCCGUGAAAUCGCUGGGCUUAACCCAUGCAAUUGCGGUUGAUACUGUCGGACUUGAAUGGGGUUGAGGCUAGCGGAAUGCGGCAUGUAGCGGUGAAAUGCUUAGAUAUGCCGCAGAACACCGAUUGCGAAGGCAGCUAGCUGGGCCCGAAUUGACGCUGAGGCACGAAAGCGUGGGGAGCAAACAGG